Molecule: ribosomal RNA, 492 nt
Filed under: uncultured bacterium
Lineage: Bacteria
Description: partial 16S ribosomal RNA
Rfam family: Bacterial small subunit ribosomal RNA
Source: RNAcentral
AGUGAACGCUGGCGGUAGGCCUAACACAUGCAAGUCGAACGGCAGCACAGUAAGAGCUUGCUCUUACGGGUGGCGAGUGGCGGACGGGUGAGGAAUACAUCGGAAUCUACUUUUUCGUGGGGGAUAACGUAGGGAAACUUACGCUAAUACCGCAUACGACCUACGGGUGAAAGCAGGGGAUCUUCGGACCUUGCGCGAUUGAAUGAGCCGAUGUCGGAUUAGCUAGUUGGCGGGGUAAAGGCCCACCAAGGCGACGAUCCGUAGCUGGUCUGAGAGGAUGAUCAGCCACACUGGAACUGAGACACGGUCCAGACUCCUACGGGAGGCAGCAGUGGGGAAUAUUGGACAAUGGGCGCAAGCCUGAUCCAGCCAUACCGCGUGGGUGAAGAAGGCCUUCGGGUUGUAAAGCCCUUUUAUUAGGAAAGAAAAGCAGCAGGUUAAUACCCCGCUGUUCUGACGGUACCCAAUGAAUAAGCACCGGCUAACUUCGUG